This 397-nucleotide ribosomal RNA is filed under the name uncultured bacterium. RNAcentral describes it as "partial 16S ribosomal RNA". It matches the Rfam family "Bacterial small subunit ribosomal RNA", at positions 523 to 918 of the family's 1533-position model. The record is from RNAcentral.
AUACGUAGGUGGCAAGCGUUAUCCGGAUUUACUGGGUGUAAAGGGCGUGUAGGCGGGAUGGUAGGUCAGAUGUGAAAUACCGCAGCUUAACUGCGGGGCUGCAUUUGAAACCCCCAUUCUUGAGUGUUGGAGAGGUAAGUGGAAUUCCUAGUGUAGCGGUGAAAUGCGUAGAUAUUAGGAGGAACACCAGUGGCGAAGGCGACUUACUGGACAAUAACUGACGCUGAGGCGCGAAAGCGUGGGGAGCAAACAGGAUUAGAUCCCCUGGUAGUCCACGCCGUAAACGAUGGAUACUAGGUGUAGGGGGUAUCGACUCCCCCUGUGCCGCAGUUAACACAAUAAGUAUCCCACCUGGGGAGUACGGCCGCAAGGCUGAAACUCAAAGGAAUUGACGGGG